AGGCUAGUACUGAUGCUAGCCAAAAUAUGAACUUAAAAAAAGAGGUUAGUACUGAGACUAACCGCAUUGAAGAACCUGAGCUCAAAAUUGGUAUUGAUGCUGGUUCUAAUCUGAGUGAGAGAAAUAAAGAGAAGAAGAGAGCAGAUAAGUUAUCUGAGAUAUAUAAACCUAGAAUCCCAUUUUCUUCUACUCUAGAAGCUGGUUCUUCCUGCAA
RNAcentral lists this long non-coding RNA (214 nucleotides) under Elaeis guineensis (African oil palm). RNAcentral describes it as "long non-coding RNA (EGUI_LNC036870)". Lineage: Eukaryota; Viridiplantae; Streptophyta; Magnoliopsida; Arecales; Arecaceae. The record is from RNAcentral.